RNAcentral lists this ribosomal RNA (410 nucleotides) under uncultured Cercozoa. Its description in RNAcentral is "partial small subunit ribosomal RNA". It matches the Rfam family "Eukaryotic small subunit ribosomal RNA", at positions 30 to 432 of the family's 1831-position model. The record is from RNAcentral. Lineage: Eukaryota; Cercozoa.
GCUUGUCUCAAAGAUUAAGCCAUGCAUGUCUAUGUUUAAACAAUCUAAACGUGAAACUGCGCAUGGCUCAUUAUAACAGCGAUCACCUACUUGAUUUUCACACUCACUACAUGGAUAACCGUAGUAAUUCUAGAGCUAAUACAUGCGCAAAGUCCCGACUCUCGCGGGGAGGGAUGUAUUUAUUAGAUAAAAAACCAAUGCGGGGGCAACUCCGGUCAUUUCGGUGAUUCAUAAUAACUGGUCGGAUCGCAUGGCCUCGUGCCGGCGACAUAUCAUACGGAUCUCUGCCCUAUCAGCUUUCGACGGUAGUGUAGUGGACUACCGUGGCGUUAACGGGUGACGGAGAAUUAGGGUUCGAUUCCGGAGAGGGAGCCUGAGACACGGCUACCACAUCCAAGGAAGGCAGCAGG